Molecule: ribosomal RNA, 314 nt
Filed under: uncultured bacterium
Lineage: Bacteria
Description: partial 16S ribosomal RNA
Rfam family: Bacterial small subunit ribosomal RNA
Source: RNAcentral
GUAUAAGAGACAGCAGCAGCCGCGGGAAAACGUAGGGUGCAAGCGUUAAUCGGAAUUACUGGGCGUAAAGCGUGCGCAGGCGGUUAUAUAAGACAGAUGUGAAAUCCCCGGGCUCAACCUGGGAACUGCAUUUGUGACUGUAUAGCUAGAGUACGGCAGAGGGGGAUGGAAUUCCGCGUGUAGCAGUGAAAUGCGUAGAUAUGCGGAGGAACACCGAUGGCGAAGGCAAUCCCCUGGGCCUGUACUGACGCUCAUGCACGAAAGCGUGGGGAGCAAACAGGAUUAGAUACCCCUGUAGUCCCUGUCUCUUAUAA